ACGUGUUUUGGCCAAGAUGGUGACGUGGCAAAUUUAGUCUGAAUCGGAAGUGGAUAAGGGUGAACGCAUGUUCUCCCUUCAAAACUGGAAGAUGAUAUACUUAAAGCCUUUAUGAUAAGGAUGAAUACGGGCGAGAUAAGCUUCAAGCAAAGUUCAAUCAAACCAGGAGAACCACACACCUGAAUUAAAGAGCAGAUUUUAGAAGAGAACCACACCAAAUCCUUACCAAUAGUUUUCAUUUUGGUUAAGCCCUUUGGGGCAAGACNUGUUUCUGUUUGGGAGGACACACUGAUGAGGCAUGGCUCGAGGAGGCUGGAAUGGGCACAACGGAGCACUUAUCUGGGCUUUGGGAAUGAUCUGGAGACUAGCCAUGUUAGUUAGAGUGUCGCAGUGUGGAUAAACUUCAAGUAGAGACAGACAUAUGUGCUCGCUAUUAUUUUCGCUACGCCGCAAGUGCACGGUGUAGUUGCAAUAUAGGGAAGCAAUGUCGUAUUCCACAAGGAUUGGUGAAUUUAAACUUCUAAAUAUUAUUAAUAAGUUGUUUUCAAUCUAUUUAGACAAACCAAAGAUGAAGAGAUAUUGAGAACUAAAACAAAGCUAAAUAAAGCAAGUAAAUAAAAUAACAACAAGAUAAACUUAGUUAAUAAAUUGGGGAAUGACUCGAAUGAAAGUUAUCCUAGGGACUAGAUUUCGAUGGAUCGUAAUGAACUUCAAUCUAAAGCAAUAUUAAUCUUGAUAUGACCUACUUAUCUAGGGCGAUCUCCCCACUAGUUUUAGCCCCCUCCCGGACGACUAAAACAGUAGAUUACGGGUCAUAAUUUCCGUCCCCGGUCAAUUUCUAACCUAUAACUCCCAAGAGCACAAAAGAUCAACAAGCCCUCACCCAACUCUCAACCUCCCGGUUUAUUGAGAUGAUAUGUUUCAAGCUCCUAAUCUAUUGUAAUUAUCCUCUCCCGAUUCAAAUCACAAAUUAGAAAUGCACAAAAGGUGCCCAACCAAUCAUACAAGAGAUAAAUCUAGGGCUUGAAAAGAUAACAAUAAGCACAAUCAAGAUAUAAAUAUUAAAUAAAGAAAUCAAUCCAUUACAAAUCCAUCUAAUCUAAUCCCUAAGAUAAGGGAUUUUAGCCAAGCAUAUUUAUAAUAAAAAUAAAUCCCAAGUCAUAAGAAAACAUAAAUAAAGAUAUAGAGAGAUAGAGAUUCAUAGACAAAUCCUAUAAUCUUGAUCUUCAAUCAUGUAGUCUUGAUGAGCUCCUUUCCAAGUCUUCCCCUUCUUUCUUUGAUUUUGGUGUUGUUCUUGUGUGUGGAAGAGAGAAAAAUGGUAGAGAAUGGAGGCUAGGGUUUGGAAUUGGAGUGUUGGGGAAGAUGAAAUUGGGUGUGAAUGGUGAAUGAUAUGAAAAGUGGGGGAAAAAUAGGUAUUUGGGGGUUGAAAUCGCGUCUAGGCCUCACCAAAAGCAUCAAUUCCGUGUUUCUCCCGCGGUCACGGCCGUGACCGCGGCGUAGGACCGUGGGGAGCUUUUGGAGAGGCCCGCGGUCGGGCCCGCGGCCGCGGCCCGGACCGCGGGUGAAAUCUGGCGUUCUGGACGAUUUUGGAGCAGAAGCCCGCGGUCGGGCCCGUGACCGCGUCCCGGACCGCGGGGUACUGGGCUCUGUGCGCAGUCCGCUUGUUUUGCUCCGUUCUCCCUCGUCCGGACUCGGAUUUGGUCGCCGUUUGCGCUCACGGAUUCCUCUCGAGACGCACUUCAAUCUCAUGUCUUUAAAAUCCUCCAAUUAAUCCUUGAUUUUUCCUGAAAUUACUCCAAAACUACACCAAAACAUCAAAUCUUCAUAAAACUAAAUAUUCGGGCACAAACAAACAUUCACAAGCAAAACAUGAAGGGAAAUGACAACAAAACAUGUGGAAUUGAGGUACGAAAACCAUGUUUGUCAAUAUGCCAACCGCUUAACCAGGCGUCAUGGGUUAGAACAAACAGUACCGCUCAUAGCAGGGGCUUCGCUGGUGCUGGGUAAGAUGGAACUAAUUUCUAGAAAUGAUGUUGCAACUUAAGCUAAUUAUCAUUGACCAAGAAUCAGCCUAACUUCCUCUCAAAAUCAAGCUUUCAUCAAUAGAAGCAUCUCGGCGAAGAUGAUGACAUGGCAGAUAAGAUUCCUACAAAUCCACUUGUGAUAUGCAAAGAAUCUAAAUAAGACGAGCAUGAACUAGUCCACGCAAAGAAGGACUCUGGGCAAGAUGUGUUUGGCCAAGAUGAUGACGUGGUAGCUAAAAUUACUACAAAUCCACUUGUAAUAAGGAAAAAAUCUAGAUAAGAUAAGUAUGGAAUAGUCCACACAAGGAAGCACUGUGGGCAAGACGUGUUUUGGCCAAGAUGGUGACGUGGCAAAUUUAGUCUGAAUCGGAAGUGGAUAAGGGUGAACGCAUGUUCUCCCUUCAAAACUGGAAGAUGAUAUACUUAAAGCCUUUAUGAUAAGGAUGGAUACGGGCGAGAUAAGCUUCAAGCAAAGUUCAAUCAAACCAGGAGAACCACACACCUGAAUUAAAGAGCAGAUUUUAGAAGAGAACCACACCAAAUCCUUACCAAUAGUUUUUCAUUUUGGUUAAGCCCUUUGGGGCAAGACACUAGUUUAGUUUUUCGUAUGUUUAUUGCUGUCGGCGCUGGUGCUUGCCGUGUUUUUUAUUUCCGUUCAA
Molecule: long non-coding RNA, 2683 nt
Filed under: Salvia miltiorrhiza (redroot sage)
Lineage: Eukaryota; Viridiplantae; Streptophyta; Magnoliopsida; Lamiales; Lamiaceae
Description: long non-coding RNA (SMIL_LNC006497)
Source: RNAcentral